AUAUAUAUGUAUAUAUGUGUAUGUGUGUGUGUGUGUGUGUAUAUAUAUAUAUACACACACAUAUACAUAUAUG
RNAcentral lists this microRNA precursor (73 nucleotides) under Mustela putorius furo (domestic ferret). RNAcentral's name for it is "miRNA (ENSMPUG00000021072.1)". The record is from RNAcentral. Lineage: Eukaryota; Metazoa; Chordata; Mammalia; Carnivora; Mustelidae.